Molecule: ribosomal RNA, 717 nt
Filed under: uncultured bacterium
Lineage: Bacteria
Description: bacterial SSU rRNA
Rfam family: Bacterial small subunit ribosomal RNA
Source: RNAcentral
ACUCCUACGGGUGGCUGCAGUGGGGAAUAUUGCACAAUGGGCGCAAGCCUGAUGCAGCGACGCCGCGUGGGGGAUGACGGCCUUCGGGUUGUAAACUCCUUUCGCCAGGGACGAAGCGUUUUGUGACGGUACCUGGAGAAGAAGCACCGGCUAACUACGUGCCAGCAGCCGCGGUAAUACGUAGGGUGCAAGCGUUGUCCGGAAUUACUGGGCGUAAAGAGCUCGUAGGUGGUUUGUCACGUCGUCUGUGAAAUUCCACAGCUUAACUGUGGGCGUGCAGGCGAUACGGGCUGACUUGAGUACUGUAGGGGUAACUGGAAUUCCUGGUGUAGCGGUGAAAUGCGCAGAUAUCAGGAGGAACACCGAUGGCGAAGGCAGGUUACUGGGCAGUUACUGACGCUGAGGAGCGAAAGCAUGGGUAGCAAACAGGAUUAGAUACCCUGGUAGUCCAUGCCGUAAACGGUGGGCGCUAGGUGUAGGGGCCUUUUGGGGUUUCUGUGCCGUAGCUAACGCAUUAAGCGCCCCGCCUGGGGAGUACGGCCGCAAGGCUAAAACUCAAAGGAAUUGACGGGGGCCCGCACAAGCGGCGGAGCAUGUGGAUUAAUUCGAUGCAACGCGAAGAACCUUACCUGGGCUUGACAUACACCGGAUCGCUGCAGAGAUGUAGUUUCCCUUGUGGCUGGUGUACAGGUGAUGCAUAGGUGUCGUCAGCUCGUG